GAUGAAGAACGCAGCGAAAUGCGAUACUUGGUGUGAAUUGCAGAAUCCCGUGAACCAUCGAGUCUUUGAACGCAAGUUGCGCCCGAAGCCAUUAGGCCGAGGGCACGCCUGCCUGGGCGUCACACAUCGUUGCCCCCCCAUCUACUCCUUCGGGAUUGCGGGGGGCGGAUGAUGGCCUCCCGUGCGCCUCGUCGCGCGGUUGGCAUAAAUGCCAAGUCCUCGGCGACGCACGCCACGACAAUCGGUGGUUGCGAAACCUCGGUUGCCCGUCGUGUGCGGUCGUCGCGCAUCGAGGGCUCGAAAAAAUUGUCGGGCUCCGGCUCGGCUUUCAACGCGACCCCAGGUCAGGCGGGGUUACCCGCUGAAUUUAAGCAUAUCAAUAAGCGGAGGA
This 391-nucleotide unclassified non-coding RNA is filed under the name soil metagenome. Its description in RNAcentral is "partial contains 5.8S ribosomal RNA, internal transcribed spacer 2, and large subunit ribosomal RNA". The stretch from base 1 to 122 matches the Rfam family "5.8S ribosomal RNA", at positions 35 to 154 of the family's 154-position model. The record is from RNAcentral.